CGGUAAUUCCAGCUCCAAUAGCGUAUAUUAAAGUUGUUGCAGUUAAAAAGCUCGUAGUUGAACCUUGGGCUUGGUUGGCCGGUCCGCCUUUUUGGCGAGUACUGGACCCAACCGAGCCUUUCCUUCUGGCUAACCUUUCGCCCUUGNGGUGUUUGGCGAACCAGGACUUUUACUUUGAAAAAAUUAGAGUGUUCAAAGCAGGCCUUUGCUCGAAUAUAUUAGCAUGGAAUAAUAGAAUAGGACGUUAUGGUUCUAUUUUGUUGGUUUCUAGGACCAUCGUAAUGAUUAAUAGGGACGGUCGGGGGCAUCAGUAUUCAGUUGUCAGAGGUGAAAUUCUUGGAUUUACUGAAGACUAACUACUGCGAAAGCAUUUGCCAAGGACGUUUUCAUUAAUCAAGAACGAAAGUUAGGGGAUCGAAGAUGAUCAGAUACCGUCGUAGUCUUAACCAUAAACUAUGCCGACUAGGGAUCGGGUGUUGUUCUUUUUUUGACGCACUCGGCACCUUACGAGUAAUCAAAGUCUUUGGGUUCUGGGGGGAGUAUGGUCGCAAGGCUGAAACUUAAAGGAAUUGACGGAAGGGCACCACCAGGAGUGGAGCCUGCGGCUUAAUUUGACUCAACACGGGGAAACUCACCAGGUCCAGACACAAUAAGGAUUGACAGAUUGAGAGCUCUUUCUUGAUUUUGUGGGUGGUGGUGCAUGGCCGUUCUUAGUUGGUGGAGUGACUUGUCUGCUUAAUUGCGAUAACGAACGAGACCUUAACCUACUAAAUAGUGCUGCUAGCUUUUGCUGGUAUAGUCACUUCUUAGAGGGACUAUCGAUUUCAAGUCGAUGGAAGUUUGAGGCAAUAACAGGUCUGUGAUGCCCUUAGACGUUCUGGGCCGCACGCGCGCUACACUGACGGAGCCAACGAGUAUUAACCUUGGCCGAGAGGUCUGGGAAAUCUUGUGAAACUCCGUCGUGCUGGGGAUAGAGCAUUGUAAUUAUUGCUCUUCAACGAGGAAUUCCUAGUAAGCGCAAGUCAUCAGCU
Molecule: ribosomal RNA, 1031 nt
Filed under: uncultured eukaryote
Lineage: Eukaryota
Description: SSU rRNA
Rfam family: Eukaryotic small subunit ribosomal RNA
Source: RNAcentral